AUGACUUUACUUCCCUUGGUGAGUAUGCUAUGGCUUUGCAAUUGCUUUUAUGAUAUAUUUCUUUAUGUUAUCUAUUCAUUUUAGGAACUUUAUUUUGACUAAUUGAAAUUUUUCGAAUCCUAGACUGGAUUGGCCAAUUAACCAAAGAACCUGACAAACUGUGAACUGACUUUUAAUCUUACUUGGGUUACUGUUUUAGUUCCUUAUUAAAGCCUGGGCUAUCAUUUUGGCCAAGUCAGGCAGUAGCAAUUAGGAAACCUUGUCAAUAAUUUUAUGGUUUCUAUUUAACAUGAAAUAGAUUGAGCAUACAUUUUUAUGGGCUUCAAGUUUGAUCCUUCAUAUGCUAUCUAUUGGAGAAAGGCAUACUAAGGCAGUGAGG
This 379-nucleotide unclassified non-coding RNA is filed under the name Hevea brasiliensis (rubber tree). Lineage: Eukaryota; Viridiplantae; Streptophyta; Magnoliopsida; Malpighiales; Euphorbiaceae. The record is from RNAcentral.